UACGUAGGGUCCGAGCGUUGUCCGGAAUUAUUGGGCGUAAAGGGCUCGUAGGCGGUUCGUCACGUCGGGAGUGAAAACUCGGAGCUUAACUCCGAGCCUGCUUCCGAUACGGGCAGACUAGAGGUAUGCAGGGGAGAACGGAAUUCCUGGUGUAGCGGUGGAAUGCGCAGAUAUCAGGAGGAACACCGGUGGCGAAGGCGGUUCUCUGGGCAUUACCUGACGCUGAGGAGCGAAAGCAUGGGGAGCGAACAGG
Molecule: ribosomal RNA, 253 nt
Filed under: uncultured bacterium
Lineage: Bacteria
Description: partial 16S ribosomal RNA
Rfam family: Bacterial small subunit ribosomal RNA
Source: RNAcentral